Molecule: ribosomal RNA, 516 nt
Filed under: uncultured archaeon
Lineage: Archaea
Description: bacterial SSU rRNA
Rfam family: Archaeal small subunit ribosomal RNA
Source: RNAcentral
GCAUGAUGAAGGCCAGGCUGAAGACCUUGCCUGAUCCGCUGAGAGGUGGUGCAUGGCCGUCGUCAGUUCGUACUGUGAAGCAUCCUGUUAAGUCAGGCAACGAGCGAGACCCACGCCCACAGUUGCCAGCGAGCCCUUCGGGGUGGCGGGUACUCUGUGGGGACCGCCGCUGCUAAAGCGGAGGAAGGAAUGGGCAACGGUAGGUCAGUAUGCCCCGAAUCUCCCGGGCUACACGCGGGCUACAAUGGUCGGUACAAUGGGUAUCUACCCCGAGAGGGGAUGGAAAUCUCCUAAAACCGGUCGUAGUUCGGAUUGAGGGCUGCAACUCGCCCUCAUGAAGCUGGAAUCCGUAGUAAUCGCGUUUCAACAGAACGCGGUGAAUACGUCCCUGCUCCUUGCACACACCGCCCGUCAAACCACCCGAGUAGGGUCUGGAUAAGGGUGCGCCAUGUUGACGCAUUCGAAUCUGGGCUUUGCAAGGGGGGUUAAGUCGUAACAAGGUAACCAAGGGCGAAU